AUUGAACGCUGGCGGCAGGCCUAACACAUGCAAGUCGAGCGGAUGAAGGGAGCUUGCUCCUGGAUUCAGCGGCGGACGGGUGAGUAAUGCCUAGGAAUCUGCCUGGUAGUGGGGGAUAACGUCCGGAAACGGGCGCUAAUACCGCAUACGUCCUGAGGGAGAAAGUGGGGGAUCUUCGGACCUCACGCUAUCAGAUGAGCCUAGGUCGGAUUAGCUAGUUGGUGGGGUAAAGGCCUACCAAGGCGACGAUCCGUAACUGGUCUGAGAGGAUGAUCAGUCACACUGGAACUGAGACACGGCCCAGACUCCUACGGGAGGCAGCAGUGGGGAAUAUUGGACAAUGGGCGAAAGCCUGAUCCAGCCAUGCCGCGUGUGUGAAGAAGGUCUUCGGAUUGUAAAGCACUUUAAGUUGGGAGGAAGGGCAGUAAGUUAAUACCUUGCUGUUUUGACGUUACCAGCAGAAUAAGCACCGGCUAACUUCGUG
This 484-nucleotide ribosomal RNA is filed under the name uncultured bacterium. RNAcentral describes it as "partial 16S ribosomal RNA". It matches the Rfam family "Bacterial small subunit ribosomal RNA", at positions 30 to 507 of the family's 1533-position model. The record is from RNAcentral.